GCUCAAGUGUCCGAGUGGUUAAGGAGACAGACUUGAAAUCUGUUACGCUUUGCGUGCGCAGGUUCAAAUCCUGUCUUGAGCG
This 82-nucleotide transfer RNA is filed under the name Rhodotorula toruloides. RNAcentral describes it as "tRNA-Ser (TGA) cove score=67.56". It matches the Rfam family "tRNA". From Rfam's summary of the family: Transfer RNA (tRNA) molecules are approximately 80 nucleotides in length. RNAcentral also lists the same sequence under 2 other names. The record is from RNAcentral. Lineage: Eukaryota; Fungi; Basidiomycota; Microbotryomycetes; Sporidiobolales; Sporidiobolaceae.